AGCUUUGUGCAGUGGCAACAUUGUAGCCAGUGAAGUUUAUCCGAGGCACGAUUACUGCUAAUCGAAAACUUUUCCCAAUACCCCGCCGUGAUGACUUGAAGUAGUCGAGAGGCG
Molecule: small nuclear RNA, 114 nt
Filed under: Echinops telfairi (small Madagascar hedgehog)
Lineage: Eukaryota; Metazoa; Chordata; Mammalia; Afrosoricida; Tenrecidae
Description: U4 spliceosomal RNA (ENSETEG00000022211.1)
Rfam family: U4 spliceosomal RNA
About the family: U4 small nuclear RNA (U4 snRNA) is a component of the major U2-dependent spliceosome. The structure of U4 snRNA from yeast and human has been reported.
Source: RNAcentral